Molecule: long non-coding RNA, 471 nt
Filed under: Monodelphis domestica (gray short-tailed opossum)
Lineage: Eukaryota; Metazoa; Chordata; Mammalia; Didelphimorphia; Didelphidae
Description: lncRNA (ENSMODG00000035865.2)
Source: RNAcentral
CAAAACAAUAUAACACAGCAUACUAUACUAUACUAUGUAGAUUAAUUAAUGAAUAUUUCCUUUUUUUUUUCCCCAAAGGAUUUUUCAUGUACAAUAAUCUGCUACUUUUGUUGCAUAAGCCAAAGGAAUGACUACCAGGUCUUAAGGAGAGUGAGACAUAAAGUAUCCGGGGUCACUGAAUUCCUGAAGCAUUCUUAUACACCCAGUGAUUCUCAGGUCUAAGAAAAAGACCCAGCAACGAGAAAUACAUCGUAACAACACAUGAUGGAUCUAGGCUGGAUGCAGAACAGUGAUUCUGGAGCAGGAACUGCAUAAUCUUUGUAUUUGAAAAGAUGCUUUGCAUGGAUAACAGGCCCUUUUCUUGAGGAGAGACAGAUCUGUUCAGGAGCAAACAAUGGCUUUUUUUUGGAAUCUCCUUGGAUUCUGGAAGCAGGAAAGAUUGCUGUAAAUAAAAAGCAUAUUGUAGUGUCA